AGAGUUUGAUCAUGGCUCAGGACGAACGCUGGCGGCGUUAACACAUGCAAGUCGAACGGUAAGGCCCUUCGGGGUACACGAGUGGCGAACGGGUGAGUAACACGUGGGUGAUCUGCCCUGCACUUUGGGAUAAGCCUGGGAAACUGGGUCUAAUACCGAAUAUGACUCCGGGAUGCAUGUCUUGGGGUGGAAAGCUUUUGCGGUGUGGGAUGGGCCCGCGGCCUAUCAGCUUGUUGGUGGGGUGAUGGCCUACCAAGGCGACGACGGGUAGCCGGCCUGAGAGGGUGUCCGGCCACACUGGGACUGAGAUACGGCCCAGACUCCUACGGGAGGCAGCAGUGGGGAAUAUUGCACAAUGGGCGCAAGCCUGAUGCAGCGACGCCGCGUGAGGGAUGACGGCCUUCGGGUUGUAAACCUCUUUCAGCAGGGACGAAGCGCAAGUGACGGUACCUGUAGAAGAAGCACCGGCCAACUACGUGCCAGCAGCCGCGGUAAUACGUAGGGUGCGAGCGUUGUCCGGAAUUACUGGGCGUAAAGAGCUCGUAGGUGGUUUGUCGCGUUGUUCGUGAAAACUCACAGCUCAACUGUGGGCGUGCGGGCGAUACGGGCAGACUGGAGUACUGCAGGGGAGACUGGAAUUCCUGGUGUAGCGGUGGAAUGCGCAGAUAUCAGGAGGAACACCGGUGGCGAAGGCGGGUCUCUGGGCAGUAACUGACGCUGAGGAGCGAAAGCGUGGGGAGCGAACAGGAUUAGAUACCCUAGUAGUCC
RNAcentral lists this ribosomal RNA (768 nucleotides) under uncultured bacterium. RNAcentral describes it as "bacterial SSU rRNA". It matches the Rfam family "Bacterial small subunit ribosomal RNA", at positions 8 to 796 of the family's 1533-position model. The record is from RNAcentral.